AUUGAAAAAAAUAUUGAGUUUAAGUUUUAGGAAUAAUUAUGUGAAAUCUAAAAUUUUGAUUUUUUCUUUUGAUUGAAUGAAAAAAGAGAUUUUUUUGUAUUGAAAAUUGCAACUCAACUAAUACGCCAAAUGGCAGUAAUGAAGGGCGCUCGAAAGAAUUUCUCGGUUCGAGGGAAGACAAAUCAAAAGGAAAUCUAAUAUCGUCGAAAUUGCACUAGUUGUCCAUGGCGGUUGUUAUAGAUAUGCCUUGCGUAACACUUUAUUAUAGACGCGAAAACUUAAAGACAAAAGCUAACCUCAUUGCGAAUCAUGUUACGAAUAAAUGUAAAGUUACAAAUAAUAUGAUUAUAUCAUUCAUAACAUACAGUUGAUUUGAAUAAUUGGCACCGAAUCUUCAAGUUGGAAAUAUGCAGUUCGAUAAAAUGGUCCACGCAAAGAUAUUACGUUACGCCCACGCAAUAAACGGCGUUAACACGAGAAUGUUAAGAGUUAAUGGACCAACUUCCCGGACACGACGAGUUUCAACAGCCGUAGCGAAUCCUCUGGCAAUGACAUUGACAAAACUGUCAUUUCUCAUCGAUCAAAGAAAUACCUGUAUUUUUAUUUAAAUAGUCAAAUUAUUGUUAAAUGUUUAAUCUCAAAGAUGUUAAACAAUGUUUGCA
Long non-coding RNA from Apis dorsata (giant honeybee), 662 nucleotides. RefSeq lists it as uncharacterized. The record is from RefSeq and is a predicted model, not a curated record. Lineage: Eukaryota; Metazoa; Arthropoda; Insecta; Hymenoptera; Apidae. The transcript is spliced from 4 exons.